RNAcentral lists this ribosomal RNA (107 nucleotides) under Ruminococcus sp. AF45-4BH. RNAcentral's name for it is "partial 16S ribosomal RNA". It matches the Rfam family "Bacterial small subunit ribosomal RNA", at positions 1435 to 1533 of the family's 1533-position model. The record is from RNAcentral. Lineage: Bacteria; Bacillati; Bacillota; Clostridia; Eubacteriales; Oscillospiraceae.
CUAACCGCAAGGGAGGAGCUGCCGAAGGCGGGACCGAUGACUGGGGUGAAGUCGUAACAAGGUAGCCGUAUCGGAAGGUGCGGCUGGAUCACCUCCUUUCUAAGGAA